RNAcentral lists this non-coding RNA (103 nucleotides) under Paenibacillus sp. Its description in RNAcentral is "TPP sequence". It matches the Rfam family "TPP riboswitch aptamer (THI element)". From Rfam's summary of the family: Vitamin B(1) in its active form thiamin pyrophosphate (TPP) is an essential coenzyme that is synthesised by coupling of pyrimidine and thiazole moieties in bacteria. The previously detected thiamin-regulatory element, thi box was extended, resulting in a new, highly conserved RNA secondary structure, the THI element, which is widely distributed in eubacteria and also occurs in some archaea. Analysis of operon structures identified a large number of new candidate thiamin-regulated genes, mostly transporters, in various prokaryotic organisms. The record is from RNAcentral. Lineage: Bacteria; Bacillati; Bacillota; Bacilli; Caryophanales; Paenibacillaceae.
UGGCUGUACUAGGGGUGCCAUGUGCUGAGAGACGGCGGACCGCCGUUAACCCUUAUCACCCGAUCUAGAUCAUACUAGCGUGGGGAAGUGUAGCAUUUAUGUU